GUCUAACCCGGAAGCCUAGUAUGACUACAUCUCCCCGGAAAAACUUGCCUCGUACUUCUCUCUUCUUCUCGGUCCAGAUACUAUCUCUGGGGGCCGUAGACAAAACCUACAAUUGCAUGUGCUGCGAGUUUAAACCAUCAGUCUGGUAAAGUCUGAGCUUCGUCGUUUCUGCCCAACACAUGGAUUUGAUGCAGCCAGCUUGUAAAGGGCGUUCCUCUUGUUACCUGUACUGCUGUUUGUUUCGUCAAAUGAAGAAACAUGAACAACUAAAGUUUAUCGUGUAUGUUCGCGUAGUUGCUGUCCGCUGUGGUACGAUAUUGCAGCCUAUGCUGGUGAUAGAUCUUUCUGCAUCAAAUUAAACUGGCCGUUCCUUGGUGCUGGUGUCAUGUUACCGAAGUUGCAUCAUUAUUUUGUUAAAUUGUCAUUGUGACUAUGCAGUUUACCGUUUAUAAGUCGGGGAGCAACAAAAAGAAAUAUGGGGAUGUUUAUGUCAAACAAAUAAUAAACAUGUUUUCGGGAUUGGGAAAGGAAAGUGGAGGAUGUUGGUGGGGGGAUAUUUCAAGUUUGGAUAAAAAACAGUUAAUUUAUAACCCUACAAGCAUAUCCCUACCAAUUAAUCUCCAAACCCCACAAACUUAUACCUUCCAAUUCUUCAGACCUCACAAUCAUACACCUACAAACCCUCAAAUUUAUAACCUAAACCACAUAAACCAAUGAUAAACCCUAUGUCUGUAAUAAAUAAAAAAUUUAAUACAUCAAAAUUAAACAAAU
This is a long non-coding RNA of Daphnia pulicaria, 771 nucleotides long. RefSeq lists it as uncharacterized. Lineage: Eukaryota; Metazoa; Arthropoda; Branchiopoda; Diplostraca; Daphniidae. The transcript is spliced from 3 exons. The record is from RefSeq and is a predicted model, not a curated record.